ACUUGCUAUCCUUGUUUAUUUGGAAAAAGAUGAAAAAUCCUUCUCCAACAGAUUGGAAUAGGACUUGCUAAAGUUUUGCAAGUUGGAAAACGCAGGGGUCGCGCGCGUAUCUAUCCGCGCUCGGCGUGGCUUGCUAUCCUGGGCCGCGAGUGAGUUUUCCCCACGCCGCCAGUUCUCCCGCGUCGAUCGUGAAAGUUCCGUCCAGUAAUCCUUCGUCGCCUCCUUCGUGAUCACCUCCGCCAUCCUGUGUCGGCCUUCAUCGACUGGCCGCGCGGGUGCCCUACAGAGGCUAUUGCAAUAAGUGACAGAAGUUCAAAGCACGGUUCCAUGACGAACGGAUCUGGGUCAAGGGCGCGCCGGGCAGGAGGUGAAGACGGUGCGAGCGAGGACGGUCGAGAUCGGCGGCGGAGAGGCUUGGUGCGCUGCAGAACGGUGAGGAUUCUUCAUCCUCGACAUCGGCCGCUGCCGCUGCGUUGAUGGCGGCCUCCGGCCCGCCGCUCGAAGACUGCCUCCGCCUCCUCCGCAGCGAGCGCGACGAGCAGAAGCUGGCGGGCCUGCUCGUCGCCGCCAACAUCUGCCGCGCGGGCAACACCGACGCCGUCGCCAAGGUCUACCGUGCCGUUGGGCCCGGCUUCCUCCGACGCCUCCUCAACACUGGGAUGGGGUUGGGGAAAGUGGAGGGCGGGAAGGAGGAGCGGGAGGCAUACCUGUGGCUCGCCGUCACCGUGCUCGCGGGGCUUGCGUGCGUCCCGGAGGUUGCGGCCGACGAGGGGGUCGUUUCCACCGUGCCCCUAGUCGCCGAGGUUGUCGCCAAAUCGACCGAUCCAGCGAUCACUGAAGAAUGCUUUGAACUUCUGUCACUUAUUGACGCCCAAAGGAAGCAGGGGCGCAGGGCGCCGUGCGGCAGGGCAGCGAUG
Molecule: long non-coding RNA, 917 nt
Filed under: Sorghum bicolor (sorghum)
Lineage: Eukaryota; Viridiplantae; Streptophyta; Magnoliopsida; Poales; Poaceae
Description: long non-coding RNA (SBIC_LNC007462)
Source: RNAcentral